AUUGAACGCUGGCGGCAGGCCUAACACAUGCAAGUCGAACGGUAGCACAGAGAGCUUGCUCUUGGGUGACGAGUGGCGGACGGGUGAGUAAUGUCUGGGAAACUGCCCGAUGGAGGGGGAUAACUACUGGAAACGGUAGAUAAUACCGCAUAACGUCUUCGGACCAAAGUGGGGGACCUUCGGGCCUCACACCAUCGGAUGUGCCCAGAUGGGAUUAGCUAGUAGGUGGGGUAAUGGCUCACCUAGGCGACGAUCCCUAGCUGGUCUGAGAGGAUGACCAGCCACACUGGAACUGAGACACGGUCCAGACUCCUACGGGAGGCAGCAGUGGGGAAUAUUGCACAAUGGGCGCAAGCCUGAUGCAGCCAUGCCGCGUGUAUGAAGAAGGCCUUCGGGUUGUAAAGUACUUUCAGCGGGGAGGAAGGCGAUGGAGUUAAUAGCUUCAUCGAUUGACGUUACCCGCAGAAGAAGCACCGGCUAACUCCGUGCCAGCAGCCGCAGUAA
This 504-nucleotide ribosomal RNA is filed under the name uncultured bacterium. RNAcentral describes it as "partial 16S ribosomal RNA". It matches the Rfam family "Bacterial small subunit ribosomal RNA", at positions 30 to 523 of the family's 1533-position model. The record is from RNAcentral.